GGACUACUGGGGUAUCUAAUCCCGUUCGCUCCCCUGGCUUUCGCUCCUCAGCGUCAGAAUCAGGCCAGAAAGCCGCCUUCGCCACUGGUGUUCCUCCGAAUCUCUACGCAUUUCACCGCUACACUCGGAAUUCCGCUUUCCUCUCCUGUCCUCAAGAACUGCCGUAUCGCAGAUGAGCCACCCGUUGAGCAGAUGGAUUUACUCCGCGACUAACAAUCCCGCCUACGAGCUCUUUACGCCCAGUAAUUCCGGACAACGCUCGCCCCCUACGUCUUACCGCGGCUGCUGGCAC
RNAcentral lists this ribosomal RNA (292 nucleotides) under uncultured bacterium. Its description in RNAcentral is "partial 16S ribosomal RNA". The record is from RNAcentral.